GCGACGUCGCGAGAAGUCCACUGAACCUUAUCAUUUAGAGGAAGGAGAAGUCGUAACAAGGUUUCCGUAGGUGAACCUGCGGAAGGAUCAUUGUCGUUGCCUCGAAACACGACCGCGAACACGUAACGUAAGGCCGCCGGGGGGACCUCCCCCCCGGCCCCGCCGGCCCCGGCCCCUCGGCCGGGCGCCGGAACACGGCGCGGACUGUCGCCAAGGAACACCGAUCUGCCACGGCACGCCGCGCUCCGCGGCGCCGCCGAGGCCAAAGAAAUAUCAAUACGACUCUCGGCAACGGAUAUCUCGGCUCUCGCAUCGAUGAAGAACGUAGCGAAAUGCGAUACGUGGUGUGAAUUGCAGAAUCCCGUGAACCAUCGAGUCUUUGAACGCAAGUUGCGCCCGAGGGACCCUCCCGAGGGCACGCCUGCCUGGGCGUUAGAAGCCCAUCAACGCCCGGUCACCCGACCGCGUGCGGACAGUGGCCCCCCGAGCCGCAGAGGCACGGCGGGCUGAAGAGCGAGGCCGUCGACCGCGUCGGGAGCGGCAAGUGGUGGGCUACAGCGCAUGCCGAGCCCGACCCGCGUCGACACACGGCCCUUCCGGACCCCACGACGAGGAGACCGUCGCCGCGGCGGCGACUCCUUCGGACCGAUACCCCAGGUCAGGCGGGGCCACCCGCCGAGUUUAAGCAUAUAAAUAAGC
This 699-nucleotide ribosomal RNA is filed under the name Cyperus retrorsus. Its description in RNAcentral is "eukaryotic LSU rRNA". The stretch from base 281 to 435 matches the Rfam family "5.8S ribosomal RNA". The record is from RNAcentral. Lineage: Eukaryota; Viridiplantae; Streptophyta; Magnoliopsida; Poales; Cyperaceae.